GGAAAGGCGCGCGAUACAGGGUGACAGCCCCGUACACAAAAAUGCACAUGCUGUGAGCUCGAUGAGUAGGGCGGGACACGUGGUAUCCUGUCUGAAUAUGGGGGGACCAUCCUCCAAGGCUAAAUACUCCUGACUGACCGAUAGUGAACCAGUACCGUGAGGGAAAGGCGAAAAGAACCCCGGCGAGGGGAGUGAAAAAGAACCUGAAACCGUGUACGUACAAGCAGUGGGAGCACGCUUAGGCGUGUGACUGCGUACCUUUUGUAUAAUGGGUCAGCGACUUAUAUUCUGUAGCAAGGUUAACCGAAUAGGGGAGCCGAAGGGAAACCGAGUCUUAACUGGGCGUUAAGUUGCAGGGUAUAGACCCGAAACCCGGUGAUCUAGCCAUGGGCAGGUUGAAGGUUGGGUAACACUAACUGGAGGACCGAACCGACUAAUGUUGAAAAAUUAGCGGAUGACUUGUGGCUGGGGGUGAAAGGCCAAUCAAACCGGGAGAUAGCUGGUUCUCCCCGAAAGCUAUUUAGGUAGCGCCUCGUGAAUUCAUCUCCGGGGGUAGAGCACUGUUUCGGCAAGGGGGUCAUCCCGACUUACCAACCCGAUGCAAACUGCGAAUACCGGAGAAUGUUAUCACGGGAGACACACGGCGGGUGCUAACGUCCGUCGUGAAGAGGGAAAUAACCCAGACCGCCAGCUAAGGUCCCAAAGUCAUGGUUAAGUGGGAAACGAUGUGGGAAGGCCCAGACAGCCAGGAUGUUGGCUUAGAAGCAGCCAUCAUUUAAAGAAAGCGUAAUAGCUCACUGGUCGAGUCGGCCUGCGCGGAAGAUGUAACGGGGCUAAACCAUGCACCGAAGCUGCGGCAGCGACGCUUAUGCGUUGUUGGGUAGGGGAGCGUUCUGUAAGCCUG
Molecule: ribosomal RNA, 904 nt
Filed under: Escherichia coli
Lineage: Bacteria; Pseudomonadati; Pseudomonadota; Gammaproteobacteria; Enterobacterales; Enterobacteriaceae
Description: partial 23S ribosomal RNA
Rfam family: Bacterial large subunit ribosomal RNA
Source: RNAcentral